RNAcentral lists this ribosomal RNA (225 nucleotides) under uncultured Streptococcaceae bacterium. Its description in RNAcentral is "partial 16S ribosomal RNA". It matches the Rfam family "Bacterial small subunit ribosomal RNA", at positions 114 to 334 of the family's 1533-position model. Lineage: Bacteria; Bacillati; Bacillota; Bacilli; Lactobacillales; Streptococcaceae. The record is from RNAcentral.
CGCGUAGGUAACCUGCCUGGUAGCGGGGGAUAACUAUUGGAAACGAUAGCUAAUACCGCAUAAGAGUAGAUGUUGCAUGACAUUUGCUUAAAAGGUGCAAUUGCAUCACUACCAGAUGGACCUGCGUUGUAUUAGCUAGUUGGUGAGGUAACGGCUCACCAAGGCAACGAUACAUAGCCGACCUGAGAGGGUGAUCGGCCACACUGGGACUGAGACACGGCCCAG